Molecule: ribosomal RNA, 253 nt
Filed under: uncultured bacterium
Lineage: Bacteria
Description: partial 16S ribosomal RNA
Rfam family: Bacterial small subunit ribosomal RNA
Source: RNAcentral
UACGUAGGCAGCAAGCGUUGUUCGGAGUUACUGGGCGUAAAGCGCGUGUAGGCUGCUUGGAAAGUCGGAUGUGAAAGCCCUGGGCUUAACCCAGGAAGUGCAUUCGAAACUUCCAAGCUCGAGUCCUGGAGAGGGUGGCGGAAUUCUCGGCGUAGAGGUGAAAUUCGUAGAUAUCGAGAGGAACACCGGUGGCGAAGGCGGCUACCUGGACAGUGACUGACGCUGAGACGCGAAAGCGUGGGGAGCAAACAGG